RNAcentral lists this ribosomal RNA (253 nucleotides) under uncultured bacterium. RNAcentral's name for it is "partial 16S ribosomal RNA". It matches the Rfam family "Bacterial small subunit ribosomal RNA", at positions 524 to 776 of the family's 1533-position model. The record is from RNAcentral.
GACGUAGGGGGCGAGCGUUGUCCGGAUUUAUUGGGCGUAAAGAGCGCGUAGGCGGCCCGGAAAGUCGGAUGUGAAAACCCGGGGCUCAACCCCGGGCCUGCAUCCGAUACUCCCGGGCUGGAGGCAGGUAGGGGAGAUCGGAAUUCCUGGUGUAGCGGUGAAAUGCGCAGAUAUCAGGAGGAACACCGGUGGCGAAGGCGGAUCUCUGGGCCUGUCCUGACGCUGAGGCGCGAAAGCUAGGGGAUCGAACAGG